UGCAAGAGCAGAAUGGAGCCUGUCAUCCUUGUACCAAGUGCAAGCCCGGUGCCCCAUUUAGAGACGUCGCCUUAUGAGUGUGUCCUGGGUCAGAAGAAUGAGGAAGGGACUGCCUGAACUUGACUUUCUGCUCUGAACAAAGG
Fukomys damarensis (Damara mole-rat) is the source of this 143-nucleotide long non-coding RNA. RefSeq lists it as uncharacterized. The record is from RefSeq and is a predicted model, not a curated record. Lineage: Eukaryota; Metazoa; Chordata; Mammalia; Rodentia; Bathyergidae. The transcript has 2 exons.